UACGUAGGGUGCAAGCGUUAUCCGGAAUUAUUGGGCGUAAAGAGCUCGUAGGCGGUUUUGUCGCGUCUGCUGUGAAAACUGGAGGCUCAACCUCCAGCCUGCAGUGGGUACGGGCAAACUAGAGUGCGGUAGGGGGAGAUUGGAAUUCCUGGUGUAGCGGUGGAACGCGCAGAUAUCAGGAGGAACACCAAUGGCGAAGGCAGAUCUCUGGGCCGUAACUGACGCUGAGGAGCGAAAGCAUGGGGAGCGAACAGG
RNAcentral lists this ribosomal RNA (255 nucleotides) under uncultured bacterium. RNAcentral describes it as "partial 16S ribosomal RNA". It matches the Rfam family "Bacterial small subunit ribosomal RNA", at positions 524 to 776 of the family's 1533-position model. The record is from RNAcentral.